This 253-nucleotide ribosomal RNA is filed under the name uncultured bacterium. RNAcentral's name for it is "partial 16S ribosomal RNA". It matches the Rfam family "Bacterial small subunit ribosomal RNA", at positions 524 to 776 of the family's 1533-position model. The record is from RNAcentral.
UACGGGGGGGGCAAGCGUUGUUCGGAAUUACUGGGCGUAAAGGGCUCGUAGGUGGCCAACUAAGUCAGACGUGAAAUCCCUCGGCUUAACCGGGGAACUGCGUCUGAUACUGGAUGGCUUGAGCUCGGGAGAGGGAUGCGGAAUUCCAGGUGUAGCGGUGAAAUGCGUAGAUAUCUGGAGGAACACCGGUGGCGAAGGCGGCAUCCUGGACCGAUACUGACGCUGAGGAGCGAAAGCGUGGGGAGCGAACAGG